UAAUUAAUUAUCACCACUAAUUUCUUACACAUCUAACAUUUUGACGACCUGCCUAGCGCAGUGGUAAGCGCUGUGGUCUUAUUAGUGGGAGUUCCCGGGUGCGAUUCCCGGCAGGGGU
Long non-coding RNA from Maniola jurtina (meadow brown), 118 nucleotides. RefSeq lists it as uncharacterized. Lineage: Eukaryota; Metazoa; Arthropoda; Insecta; Lepidoptera; Nymphalidae. The record is from RefSeq and is a predicted model, not a curated record. The transcript is spliced from 5 exons.